Zea mays is the source of this 5632-nucleotide long non-coding RNA. RefSeq lists it as uncharacterized. The transcript has 2 exons. NCBI's taxonomy places the organism in Eukaryota, Viridiplantae, Streptophyta, Magnoliopsida, Poales, Poaceae. The record is from RefSeq and is a predicted model, not a curated record.
GACGAUCAUCCCCGGUAGCAAAGCAAUAGGGUAGGUGGCCACUGUAUUUUCCCUGCCGCUGAUAAAUCGUAUGUUUUCUAAUUACGGACGAGCUCUCAGACGUAAAACGUUCGGUCAAUGAACCUGAUGUUUCAGGUGGAUGCAUGGAAGAUGCUCAGUUCUUGUCCUGGUCCUGGUCAAAGAAGAGCAGCAGCCAACGUGUAGUUGGAACUGCGCUCUAGCAAAUGCCCAAUGGCACAGGUGAUCAACCCCUUGUACUCACGCUCGUUGUACCGUCCGUCUGUCUGCCAGUGCCAGCUGACUUGACAAAUCACGGCUUCACAAGCAACGCACGCCCAACACGCAGGAGAAGACACAACUGAAGAAGCUAGCAAGCAACCCAGCAACCAGCGCUUCUCCUGCCCUAGCCAAUAAUAAACUGCCAACCCAAACCAGAUGGAGACAGCCGCACCGAUGAAUUCGCCGCGCGCGGCCGGCCAACGCGAGUCCAGACUGAGAAAAUCGCCGCGGGAGGCAUGCAGCGCGAUCCCGCAGAAAAAACUGGCGGUUCCGGUGCGCGCUCCGGUCAGGCGGCAGGCAGGUGGAACGCGUGGACACAGAGGCCGGCAGGGCGGCUAGACGGACGGAGUCAUCAAUCACUACCUGAUCGAGCAAAGACGCAUCGCGGCGCGCGCCGAGGCAGGUCAUUGGCUGGUCGAUCUGGCAGAUGAUGCCCACCCCCUCUCCUCCGCCUCUUUCUCCUUGCGUCUUGCCUUGUCCUGCUGUGCCUGCGAUUUGUGUCUGCAUUAUUUUGCCCCCGUCGUGCGCUGUGCCUGGUUUCUUGAUGAGGCGGCUUCGGCGAGACGCCGACGUCUCAACCAUUCCUCUUAAUCUUUGCGAUUAUUAUUUUCUUUCUCGGCUUACGUACCUGCGUCCAUUCGUAUUGUAUCGUCGUUGCCGCGCGCGCGCCUAUUAAUUCAGCUGCUGCUUGCCUCGCCCGCCCGCCCGCCCGCCCGCUCGCUCCAUUGCCAGCCAAGUUAAUUACGUGAUGAGCUGGGAGCUCGGGUGUCUAGUCGUCCAUGGCGCCGAUCGGUGCAGAAGGCUUGCGAGAUUGAGAGGUGGUGGCGUUGAACUGGUUGGCUGAGAGAGUGCGAUGUUGGCACGGUUCAAUCAAAUCGCCGGCCGGGUUGACUUGUUGAUUGAGCCGUGCCAAUAUCACAACCUUCUCUAGCCUAGGCGGCCGGGCUACAGUUUUGGAUGCUACUAUGCUUCCUCAAGUACCAGCGGGCUACCAGGCCGCAUACCCAUCCACAUCCACAUCCAGGCAUCCAGCAUCCAGUCGUCGUAUAGUGGCCCGCAGGCCGCAGCCAAGCCUGCGGCGGCUCAGGUUUGGUCAAGUGGCCGCUAGGAGGAAGCCAAGGGUAGUCUAGCUAGCGUUGGUCAAAACUUGUUUUCAUUGUUCUACUAUUGUUGAGCAUUCCGAAUUCGCUUGUCAAAAGACUACAAGAGAAUAGCUGAUAUAUUAAUUAUUAUCAUGGCUAAUAUAAUCGUCUAUGUUGCUCUAGCCCUGCAUAGUUGUAGGAAAUCAAGGUGCUUCUAUCCCUGGCCGGACAUAUAAUAAUAGUAUAGUAGCAUACUAUAUAUAUCGAGAUAGACAAGGACAACAUAUAUCGAGGUAGGCAAGGACAGCAUGAGAGCAUGUUUCACAUGUGCUAUUUUAUAAUGUUACUGUAUUAAUAUCAUUUAUGUAUGUGCGGGCACUGGCAAUAGUUUAAGUAUAUCACUUUUAACUAUAUCAAGCUUUCGUAUUAGUUGGCAUCUUUAAUCUAUACUAACGUGAAUGUUUUAAUACAACCGGUACUAAAUGCAUUAGUACUUCAAUAGGUACUACAACCUUCGCGUUAUAUUAGUACGGUUGGAGAUACCAACCGGUGCUAAAGUUCUUGUUUUAUAAACUCUCUACCUCCUCAAGCUGACGUAUAUCAGGAAUAGAAAGGAGCACUUUUCAUGGCACUAAAAGCCGAGGGAAGAUGCUAUCCAUUUUUCAAAAAAUUAUUGAAGAUUUCACUCAUUUAAAUGUGAGAAAAGUUUAGCAAGUUCAUCCUCUCUUAUAGUAUGGUUGAAAUAGUUACUUACUUUGUUUAGAUUUUUCUAAAUUAUGUGGUUGAUUGUAUAAUCUAGGAAACAAAUUUAGUAAGUUCAUCCUCCCAUAUAUGUUAUAAUAUUUAUGAAGGUAAUAGAAAUUAUAAAAAAAUAGAGAGAUGUGCUAUUCAUAGCGCCAUAAGCUUUAAAGAGGGGAUGUGCUAUCUAACUUUUUUCCUAUAAUUUAUUGAAGAUUUCACUCAUUUAAGUGUAAGAAAAGGUCGGUAAUUUCCUACUCUCAUGUAGUAUGGUUGAAAUAUUUGUUUAGAUUUCUUAAAUUGUGCGAUUGGUUGUCUUUAAAAAAUAUAUGUUUAUAAAAGAUAGUGUCAACAAUAUUUUAUACAGAUAAUGCAGAUAGACCAUCAAUAGAUGUACACUUCAAAUAAUAUAUUGAAGGUGUUCAUUAUUUUCUUAAGAUGGCUGAGAGACACAAGCAAAGAGGUUUUAUAUGUUGUCCAUAUAGAGACCAUAAUACCAAUUCACCUAUGUUUGCUUUAAAGGGGUUUCAUGUCUUACUAUAUUUGUUAGACUAAGCACAGAGAAACAGUGGGUUUAAAGGAUCGAUGGAGAAGAGGAGGACUACGACACAAGUCCAAACUAUGCUCAGUACAAUUCUUUUAUAGAUGAUGUAAUGGGUGAGGCUAAAGAUCCCGAAGAAAACAACGCUUUGCCACAAAUUUUGCAUGAUGGAGACAAAAGACUGUGACAACGAAAAGGUUAGCAAAAAAUUGGAGUGUAUAUUAUAAGACCAUAAAACUUUGUUGUUCCAUAUUAUAGAUCGGGCCAGAAAAAGUUGUGUAGCUCAUUGAAAUUGUUACAGUGGAAGGCAACAAAUGGUAUCACUGACAAAAGUUUUAAUGAGAUCUUAAAACUCAUAAAGAAGUUCUUUUCAGAGGAGAACAAAUUGUCAGCAUCAACAUAUGAAGCCAAAGAGAUUGUUUGCCCUGUUGGUUGGAAGCACGUAAGAUACAUGCAUGUCCAAAUGACUGUAACAUGUAUCAUGGUGAGAAGAACAAGAAAUUAAAAGUUUGUUUGGUGGGCGAACCCCCAGAAAAAAGAAUAGUUGCUAAGGUCAUGUGUCACUUCUCUAUGAUAUCAUGUUUGAAGCGUUCGUUUCGUAACAAAGAGCACGACAAAAUGAUGUGGUGACAUAGAUAGUGAUGGAAAGAAGAACUCAUAAUAAGGUUAUAUGGAGGAGAUCUAGGAACUCGAGUAUGGACCAUAUUUGAAGAUACCCUAUUUCAUUGUCAAUGGAUAAAGUUAAAUGGAGGAGUCAUAAUAGUUGACCCACAGUAUGGAAUGACCACUAUUGACCUCAAUAUGAUUUGAUAUAGAGAUGAAUUAUUCGCCCUUGCCAAGGUUGUCAUCCACCUCUUUUGAUAAGAUCAUAUGCCUUAUGAAAUAGAAAUUCACAAUUAAUACCACUUGAGUUUGACAUUAUUUGAAUAAUGUCACUUUCUAAAUUUUGAUCAUUCGAGUGUUUCCAACACCAUUGAUGUCUUGAGUUGAACUUCCUUGAGUUGUGACUUUGAGUUAAUCAAUCCAUUUUGAUCAUGACUUUGCAUAUCAACUAAAGUCACUUUUUAAAUUGUUUGAUCCUUCACAUCAACAUGACCUUCGAAGCUUGAUUAAUUGCUCGACUAAAUGCAAGUACUUUCUUCUUCAUCAUAGCUAGGUUCUUUAGUCGCCAAGCCAAUGUUUGCCCUUCACCUUUGCUUAGUACCUCACAAAAUUUCCUUGCUAUGUUCACCAUCUCGAGCCAUCAAGUCACAUACUAUUUUGAAUCAACAAUUAAGCAUAUAAUUUAUGUGUUUCAUUCGUAUUAUUAUCUUCGCUAUGAAUGUCAUUCUUCAUUUUGUGAUUGAUCAACAUUAAGAGUGAGAUCAUUCCAGUCUCAUGUCUCAUUUGUUAUUGGUACACACAAUGACACAAGCUUGUUAAUUCAUUUUAUCAAUAUGCCUCGAGCUCAUUUCUCAUCUGCAAGUUAUUUGCCAAAUUUGAGACCAAAUAUAAUACAACACACAUGAGACUAAACACAUGCAAGUCCUAUAAAUCAUAUUUUAUAUUAAAACCCACUGAGGUUGGAGUAACAUUAAAUCCAACAAAAUCCACAUGGGCCUGUUUGAAAACACUAUUUUUUUAAAAACCCCAUGGUUUAUAAUACCACAAUUUACCGAAUACCAUGACACAACUAUGAUAUAUUAUUUUACAUCACUCUAAUCCAACACCAGUUUGGAGAUACAAUAUUUUAGUACAUGAGGGGAGGAGAAGAGCAAGACUACUGCCAUGUGCCAAUAAAGAUCAAUGUUUUUUAGACCCCACAAAUACUAUGGUAUUCGUAAAACCAUAGUUUAGAAUACAAAUCAGAGUUUCUAGAUAUGCUCUAAACAUCUUUUAGCCUAAAGUACUAUAGUAUAUUCAAAUAGUACAAUAUUGUUGUCUUAGAAAUAAAAAUAUAUUGUAUUCCCAAACAGAUCAUAGGUCGAUGCACUUUCACCGCUCCUCGGUGUCACACCCGGUUUUAAGGGUGUUGGUGUUUUGACCCGAGGGUCCUAACCAACGAGUGAAUUUGUACUACGUGUCUCAGGCCAGAUGGGUGAUGCAAGAAGACACAAGAUUUAUUCUGAUUUGGGCAAGAGAAGGUCCUACUUCCAGCGGGGGAUGAGACUUAUAUUAUCUUGCACCUAGGUGCUCGUAGUAUGGGGUACAAGCUGGUCGAGAGCGGGAGUGAAUCCCAAGUAUCUGUGAGUGAAUGAGGCAAUUGCCAAUAUCAAAAGUGGAGAGCAAAACGGUGAAGUGUAGUCCUCCAUCCCCUGAGAAAAAAGAAAGAGCUUUUGACAGAGAAUUUGUUCGGCUGGUCGAUUGUUCAGUCGUACGGUUGUAGCUCUAUAACUAGAAAACAUUGUAGCUUGAACUAAAAGGUUACAACCUGUUGGGGUCUUCUUAUUCCGAAGGUCCUCAACACACCAAAACAAUAGUUAUUUCUGGUCUAUUUCUAAGUAUUACAUGUACUCUUAGCAAAAGCAUCUUCGGAUAAAUCGGUUACGGACGAAGGUACAAUCUUGAGGAUAGUGUCAUAAAGGGGCAAAGGACGAAGCUGAAGGAAGCUGAAGCAAGUCUUCUAGAGUUAGUUCGCCGAAAUGACAGAAGGAAAAGACACUUUUAUCUUUGCCAUGCUAAGGGGGUGUUUGGUUUGCCCCUGCUAAAAUUUAGCCCCUAUCACAUCGAAUGUUUGAACCUCCGUUCGGGGUAUUAAAUGUAGUCGGAUUAUAAAACUAAUUUCUCAGCCGAAGAUUAAAAAGUGAGACGAAUCUAGUACAGUUGGUUGGGUCUAUAUUUCAUACUCCUAUUUGAAAGUCAAACGCUUGAUGUGACCCGGGCUAAACUUUAGUCCACAGAACCAAACACCCCCUAAAUAGUUCAAAUGUAUAGAUUUAAGGGUAUAAAUGUAAUUUUACCAAAGUUGUACUCUGCGUCUAUAAAUAGAGGAACAGUGAUAUACAUUUCGAUA